Molecule: ribosomal RNA, 450 nt
Filed under: uncultured bacterium
Lineage: Bacteria
Description: partial 16S ribosomal RNA
Rfam family: Bacterial small subunit ribosomal RNA
Source: RNAcentral
GUGGGGAAUCUUCCGCAAUGGACGAAAGUCUGACGGAGCAACGCCGCGUGAGUGAAGAAGGUUUUCGGAUCGUAAAGCUCUUUCGUUAGGGACGAACGUGCUCUUUGUGAAUAAUGAGGAGUAAUGACGGUACCUAAAUAAGAAGCCACGGCUAACUACGUGCCAGCAGCCGCGGUAAUACGUAGGUGGCAAGCGUUGUCCGGAAUUAUUGGGCGUAAAGCGCGCGCAGGCGGGAUAUCAAGUCUGUCUUAAAAGUGCGAGGCUCAACCUCGUGAGGGGACAGAAACUGGUAUUCUUGAGUGUCGGAGAGGAAAGUGGAAUUCCAAGUGUAGCGGUGAAAUGCGUAGAGAUUUGGAAGAACACCAGUGGCGAAGGCGACUUUCUGGACGAUGUCUGACACUGAGGCGCGAAAGCCAGGGGAGCGAACGGGAUUAGAUACCCGUGUAGUCC